AGUAUUCAGGUUCUAUGUAUUCUAUACAAACUCUAUGAAUGUCUUGAAUGUCUUUUAUUGGGACUUAACUGGCCCUUUAAACUUUAUACAACUUUCAGCAACGGAUCUCUUGGCUCUCGCAUCGAUGAAGAGCGCAGCGAAAUGCGAUAAGUAAUGUGAAUUGCAGAAUUCAGUGAAUCAUCGAAUCUUUGAACGCACCUUGCGCCCUUUGGUAUUCCGAAAGGCAUGCCUGUUUGAGUGUCAUUAAAUUCUCAACUUCAAAGGCUUUGUCUUUUGAAGCUUGGAUGUGAAGGCUGCUGGCGUUUUAAAUGUUCAGCUCCUUUGAAAUGCAUUAGUGGACCCAUUUGUGUUCAGCCUUAGUGUGAUAAUUAUCUACGCUAUGGUUUUUGAAUACUGGCUCAUUAGAUCUUCGAGGUGUUUUAUACAUUCUCGGUGUGGGGAGUUGCAUGAACUUGCUCUCUCUGUCUAUUGAGUUUGGCUUGUCUGCUUUCUAACUGUCUACACAUUGUGACAAUUUUGAACCAUUUGACCUCAAAUCAGGUAGACUACCCGCUGAACUUAAGCAUAUCAUAAGCGGAGGA
RNAcentral lists this ribosomal RNA (581 nucleotides) under uncultured Agaricales. RNAcentral describes it as "eukaryotic LSU rRNA". The stretch from base 90 to 243 matches the Rfam family "5.8S ribosomal RNA". Lineage: Eukaryota; Fungi; Basidiomycota; Agaricomycetes; Agaricales. The record is from RNAcentral.